GACCACAGUUUGAGCAAGAUGGCUAUUGCCUCAUCUCCUAGUGCUUAAAAACCACUAGAGACCACUGUCUUGUGGUCUCCUCACAAGGAGCAACUGUCUGGAGCACUUGUGAGCGAUCUCCUGUCCUCUUUUUCCAGAGAUGUUCGAAAAGCCAGUCUACUCAUCGGUUCUUCGUUCUUCGCCACAGUCAUAGGUUCCGUUUUUUGUGGAGCCAUCUUCAGUCCACCAUUUCUUCCUCUGGAAGUGCAGAUGUAUAACAGUUCUCUCAUAAGAAAAAAAUGAAUUCUUCUAUAAUGGUUAUAUAUAUUUAAAUGUAUAGUGGGACAUGAAAAUACAUAUGCAAUUCUGCUGGUUUAUUUUGCAAUUAGAAUUGCUGAGCAUCCUUCUAUUUCAGUGCAAGUGAUCUUUUCUUCUUCUUCAGGACUGUGCAGGAGUGAUCCUCUAUUCUGCAGAAUGUGCUACUCAAGUUGCUUUGGAUGGAAUCCAGUGUUUGGGGGGAAAUGGCUACAUCAAUGAUUAUCCCAUGGGACGUUUUUUACGUGAUGCCAAACUGUAUGAAAUUGGAGCAGGGACUAGUGAGGUGCGAAGAAUAAUUAUUGGUCGGUCAUUUAACGCUGCAUUUAAUUAAUAAGACUGGUGUAAAGAAGAAUUCAAACCAAGAGGCCUUUUCUUUUUAAACCUUCAACAAUGUACAACUCUUGUUCUGCAUCUGAUACCAGGAUACCCACCUCCAUUUGUCUUUUUUUUUAUUAUUAUGCUGCUAAAUUUGUUUAAGAACACGUGACAGUUACAGUUACAGUGGAGCAGAAUAGACAGUUCAAGUAGAAGAUGUGAAUAGCUGCCAUCAAGUCUUAUUGUAGAGGAUUGAGACUUCAUCCAGUUUGAAACAUUACUUAUGUAAGAAUCACUGGACUAGAUUUUUCCAUCUAACAUGUCACUUUUAUGAAUGGAAAUAGCAAGUGGGGUUCUAAUGCAUCCCACUUCCAAAAUGCUAGCACUUUGCAUGGAGAUCUUUUAUUACUGGAUUUUGUGAAAUUUUAAGUAUAUUUUGAAUAUUAAAGAGGCUGUUAUUAAAACAUUGUUAAAAUGUGAGGUAUGUAUUUCUGUGUAUUCUGUCUCAGUGCUAACUGAAAUAUAUUAGCACCACAUGAAGCUUUCAGUUAUUUGAUGGACUACCAUUUCCUGCUUGAUUCAUGUUACAGUGUCACCAUCUAUCACUCCAGAAGCAAUUAAAAUGUGAGGCAGCUGUUGACUGGGAGAGUGUUGGGUCUCUCUAAAGUUUCCCCUUGAUUAAUACAAGAUAUCACAAGUAGGGAAUUGGACCAAAUAGUGUGUGCCAUGCCAGACUACCUAUGGGACAGGCAAGAGUAAACUGCAUUAAGCUCAAGAAGGUGGUGCAAAAACUCCAUGACAAGACAGCCAGUCUGACUAGAGAAAAAAAUUGGCAAUUAAUUAUUUUUCCAAAUUCAGGAGCACCAACAACACAGGAUAUACUUUUUUUAAAAUACUCAUAUCCAAUUUUUCCUUUUUCUUCUAACCAAGUUAUAAAUAAAACAGUAUUGUUGUUCCUGACCUAAACUACUUUUGAUUGCAGUGCAAUCCACUUGAUUUAAUUAACUCUACAUUCUGGAAAUCAGUGCCUGACUUCAGAAUGCGUUUGAGAAUCACAAUAGAGCAAUUGUAUAUUUCACAGGCUGUACAUUUUUAAAGGGAAAUAUUAUAUUUGAAGAUGAGGUUUCUAGUACACUACUCUGUUAAAUAAGUUGUCCACAUCUGACCUCAUCAUCUGGGCACGUAUUCCAUAACAAUCCAUUUACAGUUUUUCCAGAUUACAUGUGAGCCUAUGAACUUUGGCUUCAUCUUUUUAAAGUAUUAAAAAAUAAAUAUGCAGCAUAGAAGCAAUUAUUCAAUGUAGAAAUGGGGUUCUAAAAUGCAAUAGUGUAACUUUCUCCUAUAUGUUGAGCUCAAAUAAUCAGUUACAGCACUUUUUCUUGAAGAUCAUGAAGUGUUAUCAUGUCAUAGUUCUAUCACCCAUAUUGAACUACUGUAAUGAAUAUAACCAAUUAAGCAAGGGAUUAUUAAUAAUUCAAAUCAAGCCAGAACCUUGUUCCAAAACUUACUACAUGGUACCUGGAGUAUGAGAAAACCAUAAUUCUUUAAAAAGUUUUUAAUCAAUCUUAUGAGAGUUUUCAUCAUUGGGAAGACUAUAUUGAUCUUUUUAUACAAAGGGUACUUUCUAUUCUUUCAAGCUGCUUUGGCUGUGGUAAAAACAUGGGGAAAUUGCUUGUAAAUUGGUGGCUUUGUAAGCUCACUAGUAUUAAUAAACUAUUAUAAAACAAA
Molecule: non-coding RNA, 2340 nt
Organism: Python bivittatus (Burmese python)
Lineage: Eukaryota; Metazoa; Chordata; Lepidosauria; Squamata; Pythonidae
Source: RefSeq, a predicted model, not a curated record